Molecule: long non-coding RNA, 1174 nt
Filed under: Anser brachyrhynchus (Pink-footed goose)
Lineage: Eukaryota; Metazoa; Chordata; Aves; Anseriformes; Anatidae
Description: lncRNA (ENSABRG00000017729.1)
Source: RNAcentral
CGUUAGUGAGACACUUUGUAUAGCUGUAUCUUAAAAGUUGAAACACAACUCAAACUUCAUCUGUGAAUGCUUUGUCACAUCUGAAAUCCAUAUCAGUAUUCUCUGUUUUAUUUUAGUACUUAUUCUGGUAUCACAAUGACCGUAUAUUUUGCAAGGCCAGAUAGCUGGUCUUUGUGUUAAUUUUAAUGAAGUGAUCUAUAAGGUCUAACAGGUUGUAGUUAUUACUGGACUUAUAAAACAUUUUGCAGUGUUUAUACUCACUGAAUACAGAUAAUGGAUACUGAAGUAAUGCCCAAGCUAUUAAGUAUAUCAAUAAAAUGCAGCAUCAAAAAGUAAAUGAAAAAUGACCUUUGUUUUAUAAGUACUGCUUUUUUGCAGUUUAAAAUAAAAUAGACUAACCUAUGAAAGAAGUCUAUCAAGAGCUAUUAAAGGCAAAGCUGAAGACAAAGUUUUCAUGUAAGAAGAUAUUGAAUUCCAAAUAGCUGGAAGCUGAGAGAGUACACAGGAAAGACUUGCAUCAUAAAUUUCUCUGUUCUGGUACUUUUUUCCCUAAGCAUUCACAACUGACUAUUUUCAGAAACAAGAUACUAGGCUGAAUGAAUCAUGUAGAGCUGUUCCAUUAUAUUCUUUGGCAGAAUAAAUCAGUCUUAAAGAGAUAAUUUUAACCUUUUUUAUAAUCCAGUCUUCCCUGACAUCAUUUGUUACACAAUUUGUUACAGCAGAUGAAAGCAACUGCUUGGUUUGAACCUACAGAAGAAUGUAAAUAAAUGAGUUUUGUAAUUAAUUCACCCAGAGAUAUAGCCAGUAUAUUGGACUGAAAAUGUGUUUUGUGAAACAUGCAGAUACCACAAAUAACACAGAUCCACACACACAAAAACUUUUGUUUUCCUAUUAUUAUCCGCUUUUUUAGUAUGAAUGCCAGGUUGUAGAGUAGUUUUUGUUGUCAGUUUGUGAUGUCAUACAUCACAUAUGAGGACACCGUAGAACAGAGACCCUACCUACUUGUAUUGCAUAGUGGUGGACGCUCACCAGUAUCCCUCAAAGAACGAGCACUUGAAGAUGCAUAGAGGAAAUACUGGAGACUAGCAGAAGUCACAGAGCUGUUGCAAAUGGCUGCUGAACUUGAAAUGCAAAUACUGUUUAAAAAUAAAAUAAAAAUAAAUAAAUAAAAGCA